UUGGUUCUGGAAGUCUCUCUUCAUCCUUGGUUUCUAUCUUUGUCCCUUUUUGUUCUUUCACCCUUUUUUGUUAGAAUCUUUGGUCUGUUGGACUUAUUGUUGUGAUCUACAAAGGACAUCUUGGUCAGAACGUGUAUUAUUUUCCUCCAUUGCUUUUUUCACCUUCUGAAAUGGAUUAAAGUCCUUGGCUGCCCUAUACCAUUCUCCUAAAUUGGUGUGCAAUGACCAUGAGCAUGUUGCGCAGGCGGAGUGAGUUCUUUGGACUCCUGGACACUGUGUGCUCGCCCAAAACAGACACGAUGAAAACGGAUGUGCUGAGAAGGGCCUCGGCGCCGAACCCGGGGAUGGGUGCCGGGACGGGGUUGAGCCAUGAGACCCAGCAGCUGACCCCGUCUGAGGAGUAUCUGCAGACCCUACUGCAGAUGAAGAUUAACAGCUCUGAUCAGUUUGAUAACUUGGAGAAGCAUACACAGUCGGGCAUCGAGUUUGUGGAGAGGUACACCAAAUUCGUCAAAGAGCGAUCGGAGAUUGAAAUCAACUAUGCAAAGCAGAUUAAGAAUCUAUCAAAGAAGUAUCAACCCAAGAAGAACUCAAAAGAGGAGGAGGAGAACAAGUACACGUCAUGCCGGGCCUUCCUGUCGACACUGAAUGAGCUGAACGACUACGCAGGUCAGCACGAAGUCAUCGCUGAGAACCUGACCUCUCAGAUCAUCACAGAACUCUUGCGGUACCUCACGGAACUCAAGGCUGAGAGGAAAUCGCAUUUCCAUGAUGGACGUAAAGCACAGCAACACAUUGAAUGCUCGUGGAAACAGCUGGAGUCGAGUAAACGGCGGUUCGAGAGGGACUGUAAAGAGGCGGACAGGGCGCAGCAGUACUUUGAGAGAAUGGACGCCGACAUCAAUGUGACGAAGGCAGACGUGGAGAAGGCGCGGCAGCAGGCUCAGAUGAGACACCAGAUGGCUGCUGACAGUAAGAGUGAAUACUCCAACUUCCUGACCAAGUUCAACCAGGAACAGAACGAGCAUUACUACACUCUCAUCCCCAAUAUAUUCCAGAAACUCCAGGAGAUGGAGGAGAGGCGGAUCGAGAGGGUGGGUGUGUCCAUGAAGACGUACGCGGAGGUGGACCGCGAGGUGCUGCCUAUCGUAGGGAAAUGUCUAGACGGAAUGACUAAGGCUGCCGAGUCCAUUGAGCCUAAGACUGACUCGAAGCAGGUGGUGGAGUCGUAUAAGUCUGGGUUCGAGCCCCCAGGGGACGUAGAAUUUGAGGACUAUGGGCCAGGCCAGUCCAUGAAGAGGACGGUCUCCGAAACCAGCCUGUCCAACUCACGAGGAGAGGCCAAGGAACGACCCAGCGGGGGCAAGAGCAAGGGCAAACUGUGGCCUUUCAUUAAGAACAAGAACAAGCUUAUGUCCCUGUUAACGUCCCCGCACCAGCCCCCCUGCCCCCCCAGCCUCCAGCCCCCCCUCACCCUCUGCUGUUCCCAACGACCCCCAGUCUCCCAAGCAGAACAAGGAGCCCCUCUCCAAUCGCUUCAAUGAGUUCAUGGCCUCCAAACCCAAAAUGACUUGCCUCCGGAGCCUGAGGCGAGGGCUUUCUCUCAAGCUGGGCUCUGGACCAGAGGACUUCAGCCACCUGCCCCCAGAGCAGAGAAGAAAGAAGCUUCAGGCCAAGAUAGACGACUUAAACAAGGACAUCCAGAAAGAGAUGGACCAGAAAGAUGCCCUAACUAAGAUGAAGGGGGUGUAUGAGAAGAACCCUCAGAUGGGUGACCCUGCCAGUGUGGACCCCCGCCUAGUAGAGUUGGCAAUGAACAUUGAGAAACUGCAGUCCGAGGUGCAGAAAUUCGAGGGAUGGCUAGCUGAGGUGGAGGGGAGGUUACCAUCGAAGAGCGAUCCUCCCAGGAGACAGAGUGGUCUGUACGAGACACAGAACAGCAACAGCAGCACGGUUGCCAACAACUGUGCACAGGACAGAGAGAGCCCGGAUGGCAGUUACACAGAGGAGCAGAGUUCAGAGACUCAGGUCAAGGUGGCCAUAGCCAACACUCCAGAGUUUGAUGAUGAGUUUGACGACGGGGAUGAGGAGACGCUGCCCACUAUCGGCACCUGUAAAGCCAUCUACCAAUUUGAAGGUCAUAAUGAGGGGACUAUAUCAGUGACAGAGGGAGAGCUGUUGUAUGUGAUAGAGGAGGAUAAAGGUGAUGGCUGGACACGCGUCCGCAGAAACGAAGAGGAGGAAGGCUACGUGCCCACGUCUUAUGUCGAGGUCCUUUUGGAAACAAACGCCAAAGAUUCCUAAAAGUGUGAGAGGCUGGCUCAGAAAUGGCAGGGCAAGCAGCCUCGGAGACAGAGCAACCACAUUCACGUUCCUUUUAUUGUCAUAGAGUCAGAAAGAGAGAGAGACAUAACCGAGACAAAAACGGGAGAUCGAUAAUGAUGCAUCUCAAAUUCCAACCCGAUACAUACGUAGAGUUCUCUUCUUUUGCAACAGUUUCUGACCAGAAGCAACAAUAAUAAGCAUCACAAUUUUGCACCCGUAAAUCUUUUAAUAGUCCAUUACACAUUUAUAAUUUUGCUUCCGUUGUCGCUGCAAAGCUUCGCUUCUCGAUGUACUAACUCAGCUUCCGCAACCCGGCGUUAUCAUGGCGGCUGUUAGCUCUCUCGCCUCAAAUCCCAACCCGCUCCCAUGCCACCCCUCCCCAAACCCCUUCCUCAAGCACGGCAGGGUGUGGUCAGAGACAAGACCAGCUCCCCCUCAUGGAAGGGGGGAAGAAGCAACACAAUCUCCCCCCACAAACCCGCUUGCUUACACCCCACCCAUACCAUCUCACCUGACCAGACCAUCAGACAGGAAGGCUGGAGAGGAAGCCAAACCGUGUCCCUCCAGUCCACCCUUGCAUUCAAACCAAUCAGGUGGAUACAGUUGCCGUAUCUCUCUCUCUCCCUCAUUGACUCAGAGCCAUCAUCAUAGAAGGAACCGUCCAGAUUCAGCAUCACUUGGAGAGCCGUGGAGUACCCAUGGAAACAACGCAGUCAUUCCACUCUCUCAGACCGCAGCUCCAUAUUUUGCAGGUUUCAAAUGGACUAAAACAUGGACCGAUUGGUCAUCUUACUGUAUGUGUGUAUGAAAAAGCUUCAUUUAUGGUGUUUGUCAGUAUCAUGUGCAUCCUCCAUACAUGACUGGGGAGGGGACAGGACUAGGAGCUCCAGGACCGAGAGGGGUUGGGGUGGGAAAGGGGACAGGUUCACUUUACUUCAUCUCACCUGCACUCUCUCCCUACCAUACUAUCAUGUGUUGUUACUGGCAUCCACUCAAAGUGGUGGAAAAAGUAUCCAAUUGUAAUACUUGAGUAAAAGUAAAGAUACCUUAAUAGAAAAUUACUAGAUUAAAAGUUAAAGUCACCCAGUAAAAUAUUACUUGAGUAAAAGUAUAUAAGCAUUUGGUUUUAAAUAUACUUAAGUAUCUAAAGUAAAUGUCAUUGCUAAAAUAUACUUACGUAUCAAAAUUAAAAGUACAAAGGAUUUCACAUUCCUUAUAUUAAGCAAACUAGGAGGCACUAUUUUCUUGUUUUUUAAAUUAACAGAUAGCCAGGGGCACACUCCAACACUCAGGCAGCACUCAAACAAAUAUCAAACGAAACAUUCUUGUUUAAUGAGUCCACCAGAUCAGAAGCAGUAAGGAUGACCAGGGAUGGUCUCUUGAUAAGUGAGUGAAUUGCAACAUUUUUACUGUCCUGCUAAGUAUUCAAAAUGUAACGAGUACUUUUGGGUGUCAGGUAAAAUGUAUGGAGUAAAAAGUACACUAUUUUCUUUAGGAGUGUAGUGAAGUACAAUUUGUCCCCAAAAAAUGAAUAGUAAUCCCAAAAAAUGACUUAAGUAGUACUUAAUAAAAAUAUUUUUAAUUUGAAGUACUAUACACCACUGAUCUCGUCUGCUCCUCUCUCUGGCCACACCCCUCCCCUCCUCAAACCCCUCCACCGCAGGUGGCAGAUGCUGGUCAUUGGCUGCGUUGAUGGCCAUGUCACAGCUUAGGAUGGGGCUCCUCUCGGGCAGUGCGUGCAGUAUGCAUGCAUGCCCUGUCUCCUCUUUGACUCGCCACCCUACAGCUCGGCUCCGGGGGGAGGGGGGGGGUUGCCUAUGCCGCUUUUUAUUUCAGUUAACUCACAUUGCCUGUUACACUUCUUAACCUGUUUGUCACCUUUUGGGUUCUGUGCCUGGGGAUCCUCUACUAGCGCUUCCGUAUUUUGUUUUGUUGUUGUUUGACUGUUCCUCGUCUCUGAAAGCAUGUUCACCUACCUGUGUUUUUUUUAACAGUGAGUGUGUGCUCUCCCUCACAGUAACCCCCUCCUGCUCAAAAUCUCAGCUAAGAAAGUUUUGGAUUCCCGAAACUUCUGUUUCUGAAUUAUUUUAUGCAUACAGUACAUGGUUAUAAAAUGUCAUUUGUCAAUUUGUUAUACUGUAUGUAAUGUUGUUUGCUGACAUUGUACAUGUUUGAGAAGUGUGUCGAAGACAAGUGGUCGUUAGCUUCCACUAGCCUCAUCCUGUGGAUACAUACUGUGCUGUGUAACGUCUCCACUGUAUAUCCUACCCAACAGACAGAAUGUCCCCGGAAGAAAACUUGAGGAUUAGUGAAAUGUCUCAUGUAAUUUGCAUGGUCCACUUACUACUGUAUAUGGAAGUAUUGUAAUACUGUGAUCCACACACACACUUUCUUUCCCACAAGGUUGUGUGCGACUGAAUAUGAGACGAGACAGACUUCAUUUUGGGCCUUAACUAGUUUAAUCCAUAGACUUAUAUAGACAUCACAUCAUUGUAUCUGUCCCAUUAUGGCAUCUGUGAGGGCAUGGACAGCCCAUUGAGGCCAUCUCCAUUUUGAAGUAGUCAAUUUUCUUCUACCAUGAGUUGGCAAACAAACUGAAAGGGUGCAUAUUGCCAGCUGGAGUGUGUAUGAACAGGUUUAAAGCCAAGGUUGGCAAUUUACUGCCACCUGCAGUUCAGGAAUGUUUGCUCAUGCGUAUACUUCAUUGGCUGAUCCCUCCUGGUGACCUGGAUGGAAUUAUGUGAUCCUUCCUUAACCCAUAGGAAGUCCCACCCAGUUGACUACUUCAAAAUGGUAAAAGUCCUCAAUGGCACUGCCCAUGAUAAAAUGGGCUUUUAGGCACAAAAGUCCUCCAUCUCUGUCUAUGGAUUUAUCCUACCACUUAGUGUAAAGACAGAUGUCAUUCUAUUAUCUGUGGUAUGUUGAAUAGGUCAAGACAUCUCUUGUUUUAUUUUUUAUAAAGGUUUGGGGGGGGGGUUAUUUUGUACGUGACAGUCAAGGUAGAUUACCCAUAACAUCUACAGAGAUGAUGAUGUCCACAGUUUCCCUCUCUCAAAGGCACAUACAUUUUUUAUUUUGUUCAUUUGAUUUAUCAUUAUUUUUUACCAAUUUUGGGUCGAUGAGAUUGUAGCUUUUUAUUGUGUAGCUAGUUGUUUCUUUAGCUGGAAAACUGUUGCACCUGAACUACAAACCACCUAUAAUGAUGAAACCAGUUGUUUGAUCUGCCUGAAGUCACUGCAGACGAAGUAAUGAAUAACAAAUAUUUGUUUUGUCUAAUGAAGCCGUUAGUGAUGGCACCCUAUUCCCUAUUUCGUGCACUACUUUGACCAGGCUCAAGAGUGUCUUGAAACUUUUCUUUAUUACAAUAUUACUACUCAAGCAACAUUUCAAAGGGCAGCAACUGAAAUUGUAUCAAUGCAAACCGUGUAUAUUAUCAUUAGAACAACAAACGAACAGUGAUCCAUCAUCAUUUGGAGUCCCCGUUACUUGUCAUAAUAUAAAAGCAGCGCAAAUCUAUAAGUUAUUUGGCCGAGAAUCAGGUCAGGUCUCCUUUUGCUAUUCCCAUCCGUCCAUCUCUUAUUUUGAUUAUUGUGGAUGUUGAUUUGGCAGUUGUUUUGUUUGUGAGAAGUGAAAAGUGAAAAGGCAAAACUGAUUCCCAUGCAGACCGUCAGAAGGUGCAUAUCUGUAGUGCGCCGACAGACAGAUAGAGCCACUCAGAAGCGAGCCAGUAUAGAGGGGAAUCUGCUCAUCUCCUCUCCUGCUAAUACUGGACUCGGAUCAUCCUAGACCUUCAGCCUGGCCCCAGUGCACCUGUACAGAAGAAAUGGCUUGUUGGAAUUAGAGAGAAUAUAUAUAUAAAUAUAUAAAUAAAUAUUGAUUCAACUAAGACAAAAAAAAUGAAAUAAACAGUCUAUUUUUAAGGUUUUAACGAUUAAAAGGACCUACCGUUACUUUUUUUUCUCUCUCGCUUUGCUAAGACUUUGUUUUAUUGUUUUUGUUUUGUAAAGUCUGCCAAAUGGUGUUUCGCACUUUUCUGUUGUUUGUGUUCCAUUUGGUAUAUGCUUGCAUUUCAGAGCACUGAAUACUUUGUAUUGUGUUAACUGUGCCAAUUAAAUACAUGUUGAAAAUAA
RNA transcript from Oncorhynchus gorbuscha (pink salmon), 6455 nucleotides. It is a transcript of the gene named formin-binding protein 1-like, with no coding region annotated. The record is from RefSeq and is a predicted model, not a curated record. The transcript has 17 exons. NCBI's taxonomy places the organism in Eukaryota, Metazoa, Chordata, Actinopteri, Salmoniformes, Salmonidae.